CCAAUUCGCCAGCCAUGCAAAAUAAAACAGAAGUCAGAUUAUUGCGCCAAGGCAAAAUUGAGCAUAUAUUGGUCAUGCUGGCCAAUUAUUCAUAGUAAUGUCAAUUCAGAAAAAAAGUUGGAAAUUAUGGCAGAAUCUAGAAACCCAGACUGUUUUUUCAUUCUUGUUUCUCUUCGCUCGUGUUUCAGGACUGGAAGGUGUUGGACAAAAGUGGUUGGAGCCUGUUUUCAGGCUGAGCUACGGUCGAGUGGUUUGAAACUUAAUGAGUUGGGUUGUUGUCAAAUGAAGGUCUUCCUGGUCGAUACCAUCGUAUUUCGAUCCAACUUCAACAUAACAUAAAACAGUAAUUUGAAAGCUUUACCUAUACAAAGGCCAAACAGUGAAUUAAGAAGCUGAGAGUGGCAUUUACAAGACGAACGUACUUGGACAAGUUAUAAAAUUUUUACAAUGAACACAUCGACGAUUCUCCUACUAAUAGCAGUGUACAAGAAUCUGCUCAUUGUAUUUGAUUUUUUAUUACUGAGCUCGGUACCGGAUAUUUCAAAUCGACAGCAGCACCCUCAUACGACGAUUCCUUUGAAAGCAAAGUCACCGUAGGAGUUGGCCAAUGAAACGAAUAUCAUUACUGCUGAGCGCAAAUUCUCGAAAUUCUCUCUACGAAAGCCUCUGAGAGGUUUUUGAAUCUAUAAUACCAUCGAGGCUAGUUUGCCCCGUGCUAAAUCUAUUUAUUUUUAGCCAAAAUAUAGGUUCACUAUUUCAGUCUUUCAUAAACGAAGAAGUCAGUCUAUUAAUCUGCAUUAUAUAGCCAUAUACUGUUAAUUUUAUAAAUUCCUUUUACAUUAUAUGGAACUUUAAUAGAAAUUCACAAACUCCCUCAA
Molecule: long non-coding RNA, 878 nt
Organism: Varroa destructor (honeybee mite)
Lineage: Eukaryota; Metazoa; Arthropoda; Arachnida; Mesostigmata; Varroidae
Source: RefSeq, a predicted model, not a curated record